RNAcentral lists this small RNA (531 nucleotides) under Claviceps purpurea (ergot fungus). RNAcentral's name for it is "eukaryotic LSU rRNA". The stretch from base 182 to 335 matches the Rfam family "5.8S ribosomal RNA". Lineage: Eukaryota; Fungi; Ascomycota; Sordariomycetes; Hypocreales; Clavicipitaceae. The record is from RNAcentral.
CAUUACCGAGUUUACAACUCCCAAACCCAUUGUGAACUUAUACCCAAAACGUUGCCUCGGCGGACACAGCGGUACCCGAGCCCCCGCAAGGGAGCAAAGGCGCCCCGUCCGCCAGGGGACCAAAACUCUUCUGUAUACCCAUAGCGGCAUGUCUGAGUGGAUUUAAAAACAAAUGAAUCAAAACUUUCAACAACGGAUCUCUUGGUUCUGGCAUCGAUGAAGAACGCAGCGAAAUGCGAUACGUAAUGUGAAUUGCAGACUUCAGUGAAUCAUCGAAUCUUUGAACGCACAUUGCGCCCGCCAGUAUUCUGGCGGGCAUGCCUGUUCGAGCGUCAUUUCAACCCUCAAGCCCUGCUUGGUGUUGGGGACCGGCUCAGCGGGUGCGGGCUUCGGCCCGCCCCGUGCCGCCCCCGAAAUGGAUCGGCGGUCUCGUCGCAGCCUUCUUUGCGUAGUAACAUACCACCUCGCAACAGGAGCGCGGCGCGGCCACUGCCGUAAAACGCCCAACUUUUUAGAGUUGACCUCGAAUCA